This is an RNA transcript of Nicotiana attenuata, 1416 nucleotides long. It is a transcript of the gene named two-component response regulator-like APRR1, with no coding region annotated. The transcript is spliced from 4 exons. NCBI's taxonomy places the organism in Eukaryota, Viridiplantae, Streptophyta, Magnoliopsida, Solanales, Solanaceae. The record is from RefSeq and is a predicted model, not a curated record.
CUCUUUUUUCUUCUUUUUCUUUCUCCCAUAUCCGAUUUCCUCCAUUGCUGAUGCCUUCUCCAUUUCCGUCACCAAUUUCACGUGAUUUUAUUCUUAAAACUCAAAUCUACACCACCAAAACCUUCCAAGUGAGAAUGCUCCGGUUCUUCUGAAAGAAGGAGAUGAAAAUUAUCGGAGAAAUAUUUUCGGUGGUGUUAAUUUGGUGAAGGUAGGAUAUGGUUAUUCAAAUUUUGAAGGUGCUGUUCACCGUGAAGCUUUAGAUCUGAAGGAAACAAGACCUUCAAAAUCUGAAUAACCAUAUCCUACCUUUACCCAAUUAACACCACUAAAAAAAAUUUCUUCGACAAUUUUCAUCUCCUUCAGGUCAGAAGAACCUGUGGGGUUUGUGAUAGUAAAAUUAGCAGGAAUUCAUGAGUUUUGUCAAGUUAAAUUGGUGACAGAAAAUGGAAAAGGCAUCAGCAGUGGAGGAACUCGUAUAUGGGUGAAAGAGAAAAUGGAAAAAAAAAGAGAAGAAAAGAAAAGAAGAAAGAAAAGAGAUAUGUAAACAAAAAAAAAGUACUAAUAAAAAAAAAUAGUGUUUGUAAUAUAUUUUAGUACAAUUAACGAAAGAGCUAAUUAGUUUGGGUCGAUUCCGUUUCAAAAAGGGUAUAUAUGACCAAUAUGUGACGGUAAUGGCAUGUAUGGGCUAAAGUAUUAACUAAGGUCGAAUGUGCUCAAUUUACAAGGUUCUACGGAGUUUUCUAUAUCAACUGCAAACUGAGGAUUCCACUGGCUGCAAUAUGGACUUCUUAAUUAAGAACCUAAUCGAAUUUCAAUACCUACAGUCUCUUUAUACCAGUGUCUUCAGCAGUAGACGCGUUAGAUGCACUGAACUCUCAGGGGCCGUGUAUAGAUAUUAUACUUGCUGAAGCCUCUCUCCUUAUAUCCAAUGGCACGAAGAUUUUCAAUUUCAUCAAGCUGGAUAUGAAUUUAAAACACAUUCCUGUGAUCAUGAUGUUGGACGAGGACGAAGUCCCUCUCGUCUUGAAAGGAUUGGUGCUUGGAGCAACAGAUUAUCUUGUCAAACCAUUCAGCAGUAUUGAGCUAAUGAAGCUGUGGACUCACAUGAAAAGAAACAGCACAAAGUUAGUAUAUUAAUAAGAUUCUCUUAGUGAUGUUAAAUGUGUUAUUCUUACUUAAGCAAAAUAAUGGAGAGUUUUCCAACUGAUGGAAUAUCACUUCAUGAAAUUCUUCCUCUGAAGUACAACCUUUAUGUGGUGGAAAACUACUCUUGAUGAUAUUUACCAAUUAUUAGAUCAAAUGUUUGGCAUAAAUAAUAGAUGCCAAGGGACUGAAAUUGAAAAUGUUCUUUAUUAAUUAGUUUCUCAAGUUAUUUAAGUAUUGGUUUGAUUAUAAAGGACACUGUUUGUUGCUAAA